This 244-nucleotide ribosomal RNA is filed under the name uncultured Staphylococcus sp. Its description in RNAcentral is "partial 16S ribosomal RNA". It matches the Rfam family "Bacterial small subunit ribosomal RNA", at positions 96 to 334 of the family's 1533-position model. The record is from RNAcentral. Lineage: Bacteria; Bacillati; Bacillota; Bacilli; Caryophanales; Staphylococcaceae.
CGGCGGACGGGUGAGUAACACGUGGAUAACCUACCUAUAAGACUGGGAUAACUUCGGGAAACCGGAGCUAAUACCGGAUAAUAUUUUGAACCGCAUGGUUCAAAAGUAAAAGACGGUCUUGCUGUCACUUAUAGAUGGAUCCGUGCUGCAUUAGCUAGUUGGUAAGGUAACGGCUUACCAAGGCAACGAUGCAUAGCCGACCUGAGAGGGUGAUCGGCCACACUGGAACUGAGACACGGCCCAG